Molecule: ribosomal RNA, 634 nt
Filed under: uncultured Comamonadaceae bacterium
Lineage: Bacteria; Pseudomonadati; Pseudomonadota; Betaproteobacteria; Burkholderiales; Comamonadaceae
Description: bacterial SSU rRNA
Rfam family: Bacterial small subunit ribosomal RNA
Source: RNAcentral
AAACUCAAAUGAAUUGACGGGGACCCGCACAAGCGGUGGAUGAUGUGGUUUAAUUCGAUGCAACGCGAAAAACCUUACCCACCUUUGACAUGUAUGGAAGAUCGCAGAGACGCGAUUGUGCUCGAAAGAGAGCCAUAACACAGGUGCUGCAUGGCUGUCGUCAGCUCGUGUCGUGAGAUGUUGGGUUAAGUCCCGCAACGAGCGCAACCCUUGUCAUUAGUUGCUACAUUUAGUUGGGCACUCUAAUGAGACUGCCGGUGACAAACCGGAGGAAGGUGGGGAUGACGUCAAGUCCUCAUGGCCCUUAUAGGUGGGGCUACACACGUCAUACAAUGGCUGGUACAAAGGGUUGCCAACCCGCGAGGGGGAGCAAUCCCAUAAAGCCAGUCGUAGUCCGGAUCGCAGUCUGCAACUCGACUGCGUGAAGUCGGAAUCGCUAGUAAUCGUGGAUCAGAAUGUCACGGUGAAUACGUUCCCGGGUCUUGUACACACCGCCCGUCACACCAUGGGAGCGGGUUCUGCCAGAAGUAGGUAGCCUAACCGUAAGGAGGGCGCUUACCACGGCAGGGUUCGUGACUGGGGUGAAGUCGUAACAAGGUAGCCGUAUCGGAAGGUGCGGCUGGACCUCCUUUAU